GACGAACGCUGGCGGCGUGCCUAACACAUGCAAGUCGAGCGAUGAAAUCCUUCGGGAUGGAUUAGCGGCGGACGGGUGAGUAACGCGUGGGCAACCUGCCUCAUACAGGGGGAGUAACAGUUAGAAAUAGACUGCUAAUACCGCAUAAGACCACAGUACCGCAUGGUAUGGUGGUAAAACUACCGGUGGUAUGAGAUGGGGCCGCUCUGAUAGGUAGUGGUGGGGUAACGGCCUACCAAGCCGACGAUCAGUAGCCGACCUGAGAGGGUGACCGGCCACAUUGGGACUGAGACACGGCCCAAACUCCUACGGGAGGCAGCAGUGGGGAAUAUUGCACAAUGGGGGAAACCCU
This 352-nucleotide ribosomal RNA is filed under the name uncultured bacterium. RNAcentral's name for it is "bacterial SSU rRNA". It matches the Rfam family "Bacterial small subunit ribosomal RNA", at positions 28 to 384 of the family's 1533-position model. The record is from RNAcentral.